GCAUAUCAAUAAGCGGAGGAAAAGAAACCAACAGGGAUUGCCCCAGUAACGGCGAGUGAAGCGGCAACAGCUCAAAUUUGAAAUCUGGCUUCGGCCCGAGUUGUAAUUUGUAGAGGAUGCUUUAGGCGCGGCUCCUUCUGAGUGCCCUGGAACGGGACGCCACAGAGGGUGAGAGCCCCGUAUAGUUGGAAGCCUAGCCUGUGUAAAGCUCCUUCGACGAGUCGAGUAGUUUGGGAAUGCUGCUCAAAAUGGGAGGUAAAUUUCUUCUAAAGCUAAAUACCGGCCAGAGACCGAUAGCGCACAAGUAGAGUGAUCGAAAGAUGAAAAGCACUUUGAAAAGAGGGUUAAAUAGCACGUGAAAUUGUUGAAAGGGAAGCGCUUGUGACCAGACUUGCGCCGGGCUGAUCAUCCGGAGUUCUCUCCGGUGCACUCUGCCCGGCUCAGGCCAGCAUCGGUUCUCGCGGGGGGAUAAAGGCCUCGGGAACGUAGCUCCUCCGGGAGUGUUAUAGCCCGGGGCGUAAUGCCCUCGCGGGGACCGAGGUUCGCGCAUCUGCAAGGAUG
RNAcentral lists this ribosomal RNA (561 nucleotides) under Ovatospora unipora. RNAcentral describes it as "eukaryotic LSU rRNA". It matches the Rfam family "Eukaryotic large subunit ribosomal RNA", at positions 38 to 625 of the family's 3401-position model. The record is from RNAcentral. Lineage: Eukaryota; Fungi; Ascomycota; Sordariomycetes; Sordariales; Chaetomiaceae.